RNAcentral lists this transfer RNA (74 nucleotides) under Rhodoferax antarcticus ANT.BR. It matches the Rfam family "tRNA". Rfam says of the family: Transfer RNA (tRNA) molecules are approximately 80 nucleotides in length. Their secondary structure includes four short double-helical elements and three loops (D, anti-codon, and T loops). The record is from Rfam by way of RNAcentral. Lineage: Bacteria; Pseudomonadati; Pseudomonadota; Betaproteobacteria; Burkholderiales; Comamonadaceae.
GUCUCUUUCGUCUAGUGGCCCAGGACAACUAACUUUCCCUUAGUAGAUCGUCGGUUCGAAUCCGACAAGAGACG